UACGUAGGGGGCUAGCGUUAUCCGGAAUUACUGGGCGUAAAGGGUGCGUAGGUGGUUUCUCAAGUCAGAGGUGAAAGGCUACGGCUCAACCGUAGUAAGCCUUUGAAACUGGGAAACUUGAGUGCAGGAGAGGAGAGUGGAAUUCCUAGUGUAGCGGUGAAAUGCGUAGAUAUUAGGAGGAACACCAGUUGCGAAGGCGGCUCUCUGGACUGUAACUGACGCUGAGGCACGAAAGCGUGGGGAGCAAACAGGAUUAGAUACCCCCGUAGUCCCUGAG
RNAcentral lists this ribosomal RNA (277 nucleotides) under uncultured prokaryote. RNAcentral's name for it is "partial 16S ribosomal RNA". It matches the Rfam family "Bacterial small subunit ribosomal RNA", at positions 524 to 801 of the family's 1533-position model. The record is from RNAcentral.